GGUAACCUGCGGAGGGAUCAUUACACAAAUAUGAAGGCGGGCUGGAACCUCUCGGGGUUACAGCCUUGCUGAAUUAUUCACCCUUGUCUUUUGCGUACUUCUUGUUUCCUUGGUGGGUUCGCCCACCACUAGGACAAACAUAAACCUUUUGUAAUUGCAAUCAGCGUCAGUAACAAAUUAAUAAUUACAACUUUCAACAACGGAUCUCUUGGUUCUGGCAUCGAUGAAGAACGCAGCGAAAUGCGAUAAGUAGUGUGAAUUGCAGAAUUCAGUGAAUCAUCGAAUCUUUGAACGCACAUUGCGCCCUUUGGUAUUCCAAAGGGCAUGCCUGUUCGAGCGUCAUUUGUACCCUCAAGCUUUGCUUGGUGUUGGGCGUCUUGUCUCUAGCUUUGCUGGAGACUCGCCUUAAAGUAAUUGGCAGCCGGCCUACUGGUUUCGGAGCGCAGCACAAGUCGCACUCUCUAUCAGCAAAGGUCUAGCAUCCAUUAAGCCUUUUUUCAACUUUGACCUCGAUCAGUAGUCC
Molecule: ribosomal RNA, 523 nt
Filed under: Alternaria tenuissima
Lineage: Eukaryota; Fungi; Ascomycota; Dothideomycetes; Pleosporales; Pleosporaceae
Description: eukaryotic LSU rRNA
Rfam family: 5.8S ribosomal RNA (bases 189-342)
Source: RNAcentral